GCUCAAAUUUGAAAUCUGGCACCUUCGGUGUCCGAGUUGUAAUUUGAAGAUUGUAACCUUGGGGUUGGCUCUUGUCUAUGUUUCUUGGAACAGGACGUCACAGAGGGUGAGAAUCCCGUGCGAUGAGAUGCCCAAUCCUAUGUAAGGUGCUUUCGAAGAGUCGAGUUGUUUGGGAAUGCAGCUCUAAGUGGGUGGUAAAUUCCAUCUAAAGCUAAAUAUUGGCGAGAGACCGAUAGCGAACAAGUACAGUGAUGGAAAGAUGAAAAGAACUUUGAAAAGAGAGUGAAAAAGUACGUGAAAUUGUUGAAAGGGAAGGGUUUGAGAUCAGACUCGAUAUUUUGUGAGCCUUGCCUUCGUGGCGGGGUGACCCGCAGCUUAUCGGGCCAGCAUCGGUUUGGGCGGUAGGAUAAUGGCGUAGGAAUGUGACUUUGCUUCGGUGAAGUGUUAUAGCCUGCGUUGAUGCUGCCUGCCUAGACCGAGGACUGCGAUUUUAUCAAGGAUGCUGGCAUAAUGAUCCCAAACCGCCCGUCUUG
RNAcentral lists this ribosomal RNA (533 nucleotides) under Meyerozyma guilliermondii. RNAcentral's name for it is "eukaryotic LSU rRNA". It matches the Rfam family "Eukaryotic large subunit ribosomal RNA", at positions 107 to 656 of the family's 3401-position model. Lineage: Eukaryota; Fungi; Ascomycota; Pichiomycetes; Serinales; Debaryomycetaceae. The record is from RNAcentral.